Molecule: long non-coding RNA, 160 nt
Organism: Mustela erminea (ermine)
Lineage: Eukaryota; Metazoa; Chordata; Mammalia; Carnivora; Mustelidae
Exons: 3
Source: RefSeq, a predicted model, not a curated record
CCAGUGAGGGGGGAAGGGCAGGAGUUCAGUCUUCCGUGGCCGGAGAUUUCACCCAUCGUGCCUAGGUAAUGAAGCCCCAGCAGAAACUCAAAAGGAGGGUUUAGGAAGGCUUCCAGGUUGGUGGACACAUCGGGGUGCUGGGGGAGCAGACAGAGAGAGA